AAGGAGACAUUGCUUGAACGGUAAACUACCGGAUUAACCGGUAAACAACCGGGAAAGCCAGUCUCGAAAGACAAGUCGAAGCCUGGCAUCCUCUUCGGUUUAAACACCUUGGGUAAUAAACCCGGCUGUUUGAGAAUUCCAGAGCAAGCACGAGUAUCUAUAA
Molecule: unclassified non-coding RNA, 163 nt
Filed under: Acidithiomicrobium sp. P2
Lineage: Bacteria; Bacillati; Actinomycetota; Acidimicrobiia; Acidimicrobiales; Acidimicrobiaceae
Description: 16S-23S ribosomal RNA intergenic spacer
Source: RNAcentral